Molecule: ribosomal RNA, 898 nt
Filed under: uncultured bacterium
Lineage: Bacteria
Description: bacterial SSU rRNA
Rfam family: Bacterial small subunit ribosomal RNA
Source: RNAcentral
GGCGGAAUGCUUUACACAUGCAAGUCGAACGGCAGCACGGAGAGCUUGCUCUCUGGUGGCGAGUGGCGAACGGGUGAGUAAUAUAUCGGAACGUGUCCAAUAAUGGGGGAUAACGAGUCGAAAGGUUGGCUAAUACCGCAUACGCCCUACGGGGGAAAGCUAGGGACCUUCGGGCCUGGCGUUAAUGGAGCGGCUGAUAUCUGAUUAGCUAGUAGGUGAGGUAAAGGCUCACCUAGGCGACGAUCAGUAGCUGGUCUGAGAGGGCGACCAGCCACACUGGAACUGAGACACGGUCCAGACUCCUACGGGAGGCAGCAGUGGGGAAUUUUGGACAAUGGGCGAAAGCCUGAUCCAGCCAUUCCGCGUGAGUGAAGAAGGCCUUCGGGUUGUAAAGCUCUUUCGCAAGGGAAGAAAACUUAGGCGCUAAUAUCGCUUGAGGUUGACGGUACCUUGAUAAGAAGCACCGGCUAACUACGUGCCAGCAGCCGCGGUAAUACGUAGGGUGCGAGCGUUAAUCGGAAUUACUGGGCGUAAAGCGUGCGCAGGCGGUUUUGUAAGUCAGAUGUGAAAUCCCCGAGCUCAACUUGGGAACUGCGUUUGAAACUAUAAGACUAGAAUAUGUCAGAGGGGGGUAGAAUUCCACGUGUAGCAGUGAAAUGCGUAGAGAUGUGGAGGAAUACCAAUGGCGAAGGCAGCCCCCUGGGAUAAUAUUGACGCUCAUGCACGAAAGCGUGGGGAGCAAACAGGAUUAGAUACCCUGGUAGUCCACGCCCUAAACGAUGUCUACUAGUUGUUGGUGGAGUAAAAUCCAUGAGUAACGCAGCUAACGCGUGAAGUAGACCGCCUGGGGAGUACGGUCGCAAGAUUAAAACUCAAAUGAAUUGACGGGGGCCCGCAC